This 253-nucleotide ribosomal RNA is filed under the name uncultured bacterium. RNAcentral's name for it is "partial 16S ribosomal RNA". It matches the Rfam family "Bacterial small subunit ribosomal RNA", at positions 524 to 776 of the family's 1533-position model. The record is from RNAcentral.
UACGGAGGGUGCAAACGUUGCUCGGAAUCAUUGGGCGUAAAGCGCACGUAGGCGGCCUGAUAAGUCGGGUGUGAAAGCCCUGGGCUCAACCCAGGAAGUGCACUCGAAACUGUCAGGCUUGAAUAUGGAAGAGGGUCGCGGAAUUCCCGGUGUAGAGGUGAAAUUCGUAGAUAUCGGGAGGAACAUCUGUGGCGAAGGCGGCCAUCUGGACCAGCACUGACACUGAGGUACGAAAGCGUGGGGAGCAAACAGG